This 197-nucleotide ribosomal RNA is filed under the name uncultured bacterium. RNAcentral's name for it is "partial 16S ribosomal RNA". It matches the Rfam family "Bacterial small subunit ribosomal RNA", at positions 1303 to 1500 of the family's 1533-position model. The record is from RNAcentral.
GGCUGAAAUUCGCCUUCAUGAAGUCGGAAUUGCUAGUAAUGGCAGGUCAGCAUACUGCCGUGAAUACGUUCCCGGGCCUUGUACACACCGCCCGUCACACCACGAGAGUUGGAGAUACCCGAAGCCUAUGAGCUAACUUUUAGAGGCAGUAGUCGAAGGUAGAAUCAAUGAUUGGGGUGAAGUCGUAACAAGGUAUC